RNAcentral lists this ribosomal RNA (466 nucleotides) under uncultured Pseudomonadota bacterium. Its description in RNAcentral is "bacterial SSU rRNA". It matches the Rfam family "Bacterial small subunit ribosomal RNA", at positions 8 to 522 of the family's 1533-position model. Lineage: Bacteria; Pseudomonadati; Pseudomonadota. The record is from RNAcentral.
AGAGUUUGAUCAUGGCUCAGAGCGAACGCUGGCGGCAGGCCUAACACAUGCAAGUCGAGCGCCCCGCAAGGGGAGCGGCAGACGGGAGAGUAACACGUGGGAACGUACCCUUUGGUUCGGAACAACCCAGGGAAACUUGGGCUAAUACCGGAUAAGCCCUUACGGGGAAAGAUUCAUCGCCGAAGGAUCGGCCCGCGUCUGAUUAGCUAGUUGGUGGGGUAACGGCCCACCAAGGCGACGAUCAGUAGCUGGUCUGAGAGGAUGAUCAGCCUCACUGGGACUGAGACACGGCCCAGACUCCUACGGGAGGCAGCAGUGGGGAAUAUUGGACAAUGGGCGCAAGCCUGAUCCAGCCAUGCCGCGUGGGUGAUGAAGGCCCUAGGGUUGUAAAGCCCUUUCGGCGGGGAAGAUAAUGACGGUACCCGCAGAAGAAGCCCCGGCUAACUUCGUGCCAGCAGCCGCGGUA